AUGACAUGCAGACGUGUCUUUGUGCUAAAUGGCAGCUGAAUGGGUGCCAGCGAGAGAGGUUAUUAAGCACAGAUAAGAGGCAGCACCUCUAUUCACUGGCAAUGUCACUUUCUCCCAUUUGAGGAGAGACAUUUGUUCAAGACACUUUUUUUCUCCUCUCACUGACAAUACGUAAGGCAGAAAGUUGGUGUCUACGUUGCUGCAUGGCUGCAGAAUAGAUUGUUUCGAGAAGGUGAACUCUGGAAAGAACUGAGUGGAAAUAAGACAUAUAGGAGACCAACAAAAGGGAUCAAGAUGUCAGAUUUGAUAAGCAAUUGAUAAAGAGAUUUAGAAGUGUGGCUUUAGACCUGUGGCUCAAAUAGUGGUUUGAAAGCAGAAUCAAGGAUUAAUCAAAGUGACUUCAUCAUCUCCGUAUCAGAGACCGUUUAUAAUACUGUCCAAAGUGCUGAAUGCUUGUUAUAUGGAGGCAGAUAAUUUGAUGGAGCUACAUCUAACUUGACGUAGAGACCACAGUGUGUCACCAGAGAUUCUGGCCUCCUGAGCUGGAUGCAGAAACUGAGAGAACUUGGAGUUGACUCCCAUGGGGAGUGGGUACCUCCUCAGGAAACUCUGAAAAAGAAGAAGUAGAAAUAGUAUGAGACAAGAAACAGUCAUAUUCCAAAGAAUGAAAUACUGUUACAAAUGAUGGAUCCAGAAAAUCUUAUCUGGCAACUUGCUGUUAUUUUCAGUAAGCCUGAUGAUGAAGAAGAAAGGAAAGAAGAAAAGAGGUUAUCUUCGAAGAGAUAAUGACUGAAAAAUUUCAAGAACUGAUAAAAGACGCCAACCUACAUAUUCAAGAAGGAUAAGUAUCCAAAGAAUGGUAAAUCAAAAUAAAUCUCCAUCCAGAAACAACUUAAAAAAAACACACACACAAUAAAUGAAAACUUCAAGAUGAGAUGCUACAAAUACAUAUUUAUCAGUACUUUAAAAAAUUACAUUCAAAUGCUGCAUAGCUGCAAAAUUUAUAGAAAUUACAUAGUUACAUUGAUUAUCAUCUACGAAUUUAACAAUACCUACAAAAAUGGUAGAAUAGAGAUUUAGAUGAAUGCAUAGAGAAUCUGUCUAAGAAAAUUAACAAGGUAUAUAGGUCCUAUAGAACACUGAAUCUAAUACAAAAUACAUACUGUUUUCAAAUAUAUAUAGAAUAUUCACUUACUGUAAAAUAUACCUCAACAAAUUUCAAGGGCUCGGAAGGACAUUACAAUCUGUAUUACAGAGAGUAUAAAUAGAUUACUAAAAAUAAAAUGGUGACCAGGAAAGUAUAAGCUACAAAAUUAAGAAAAAAGAUUCCAAAUAUUUUUGAGUCAAAGUCACAGUGCUACUAGAAAUUGGAAAAUAUUUAUAAACUUAAUUAAAAAUAUUUCAAAACUUAUCAGUUAAGGUUAUAUUACUUAAAGAGAAAUAGGCCAAAUCAAGGGUCAGUAAACUGGCUUGUUGCUCAAAGCCAGCCUAUUGAUGUUUUUGCACAGCUAUUGGGAUAAGAAUUUUUGAACACUUGUUAAGGGUUUAAAAGUAGGGUUUAAAAAAUGUAAAGAUAUUUGACAGAGUCCAUAUAUGUCCUGCAUAAGUUAAGAUAUUCACUAUCAGCCAAUUUACAAAAAAAAAGUUUACUUAUUUCUAUAUACAUGCUUAUAUUAGAAAAGAAAAAUAAUGAACUGAAGAGAGCAUAUUUCCUAGGAAAUUAAUAAAGGACCAG
RNAcentral lists this long non-coding RNA (1735 nucleotides) under Homo sapiens (human). RNAcentral describes it as "HSALNT0203119". Lineage: Eukaryota; Metazoa; Chordata; Mammalia; Primates; Hominidae. The record is from RNAcentral.